AGUGAACGCUGGCGGUAGGCCUAACACAUGCAAGUCGAACGGCAGCACAGUAAGAGCUUGCUCUUACGGGUGGCGAGUGGCGGACGGGUGAGGCAUACAUCGGAAUCUACUUUUUCGUGGGGGAUAACGUAGGGAAACUUACGCUAAUACCGCAUACGACCUACGGGUGAAAGCAGGGGAUCUUCGGACCUUGCGCGAUUGAAUGAGCCGAUGUCGGAUUAGCUAGUUGGCGGGGUAAAGGCCCACCAAGGCGACGAUCCGUAGCUGGUCUGAGAGGAUGAUCAGCCACACUGGAACUGAGACACGGUCCAGACUCCUACGGGAGGCAGCAGUGGGGAAUAUUGGGCAAAGGGCGCAAGCCUGAUCCAGCCAUACCGCGUGGGUGAAGAAGGCCUUCGGGUUGUAAAGCCCUUUUGUUGGGAAAGAAAAGCAGCAGGUUAAUACCCCGCUGUUCUGACGGUACCCAAAGAAUAAGCACCGGCUAACUUCGUG
Molecule: ribosomal RNA, 492 nt
Filed under: uncultured bacterium
Lineage: Bacteria
Description: partial 16S ribosomal RNA
Rfam family: Bacterial small subunit ribosomal RNA
Source: RNAcentral